RNAcentral lists this ribosomal RNA (459 nucleotides) under uncultured bacterium. RNAcentral's name for it is "SSU rRNA". It matches the Rfam family "Bacterial small subunit ribosomal RNA", at positions 26 to 518 of the family's 1533-position model. The record is from RNAcentral.
AGAAUCAACGCUGGCGGCGUGCCUAACACAUGCAAGUCGCACGAGAAAGGGGAGCAAUCCCUGAGUACAGUGGCGCACGGGUGAGUAACACGUGAAUAAUCUACCUCCGAGUGGGGAAUAACUGAGAGAAAUCUUAGCUAAUACCGCAUAAUACCCACGGGUCAAAGCAGCAAUGCGCUUGGAGAGGAGUUCGCGGCAGAUUAGUUAGUUGGCGGGGUAAUGGCCCACCAAGACGAUGAUCUGUAUCCGGCCUGAGAGGGCGCACGGACACACUGGAACUGAAACACGGUCCAGACUCCUACGGGAGGCAGCAGUGGGGAAUUUUGCGCAAUGGGGGAAACCCUGACGCAGCAACGCCGCGUGGAGGAUGAAGCCCCUUGGGGUGUAAACUCCUUUCGAUCGGGAAGAUAAUGACGGUACCGAUAUAAGAAGCCCGGCUAACUUCGUGCCAGCAGCCGC